GGCGGAUGUAGCCAAGUGGAUCAAGGSA
This 28-nucleotide transfer RNA is filed under the name Macrocnemum jamaicense. RNAcentral's name for it is "partial tRNA-His". The record is from RNAcentral. Lineage: Eukaryota; Viridiplantae; Streptophyta; Magnoliopsida; Gentianales; Rubiaceae.